UUCUUUUAAAUACCUAACCUUUCAUUUUUGUCUGGAAUUUGUCCGGUGACCGGUUUUUUCUUAUGCCGGCGCCGAAAAUGCCACUGUGGCUGCCGGAACUGAUGAGGUGGCAGCCGGAAAUUAACAUGGUGUCACUUUUGUGACAUGUGGAAAAAAUAUAUGAAAAAAUUAAAAUAAAAAAAACAUGUGGAAAAGAAAAGAAAAAUUCUCCCCUCCCCCCAUCGUCUUUUCCCCCUUCCCCCGCUCCCCC
Molecule: long non-coding RNA, 250 nt
Filed under: Salvia miltiorrhiza (redroot sage)
Lineage: Eukaryota; Viridiplantae; Streptophyta; Magnoliopsida; Lamiales; Lamiaceae
Description: long non-coding RNA (SMIL_LNC008925)
Source: RNAcentral